Molecule: transfer RNA, 71 nt
Filed under: Nematostella vectensis (starlet sea anemone)
Lineage: Eukaryota; Metazoa; Cnidaria; Anthozoa; Actiniaria; Edwardsiidae
Rfam family: tRNA
About the family: Transfer RNA (tRNA) molecules are approximately 80 nucleotides in length. Their secondary structure includes four short double-helical elements and three loops (D, anti-codon, and T loops). Further hydrogen bonds mediate the characteristic L-shaped molecular structure. tRNAs have two regions of fundamental functional importance: the anti-codon, which is responsible for specific mRNA codon recognition, and the 3' end, to which the tRNAs corresponding amino acid is attached (by aminoacyl-tRNA synthetases). tRNAs cope with the degeneracy of the genetic code in two manners: having more than one tRNA (with a specific anti-codon) for a particular amino acid; and 'wobble' base-pairing, i.e. permitting non-standard base-pairing at the 3rd anti-codon position.
Source: Rfam by way of RNAcentral
GACUCCGUGGCUCAAUGGUAGCGCGUCUGACUCCAGAUCAGAAGGUUGCGUGUUAAAAUCACUUCGGGUCA